Molecule: long non-coding RNA, 232 nt
Filed under: Gossypium barbadense (sea-island cotton)
Lineage: Eukaryota; Viridiplantae; Streptophyta; Magnoliopsida; Malvales; Malvaceae
Description: long non-coding RNA (GBAR_LNC019054)
Source: RNAcentral
AAAUGUGUUUAUUUUGCUGUUUUAUGGUGGAAUAUGAAGCUAUAAAUUAUGUUAAACAACUUUUGCUAAGCGAUUUUAAACGAAAACGGGUAAAUAGACAUAAUCGGUAAAAAUACCUAAUGUUCAAAAGUGUGUGUUAGAGUGAGAAUUUGAUGUUGUCAUAGAAGGGAAAAAUGUUCAGCAUGUCAUAAAACAUAAGAAUAAGAGAUGAAGUUUAAUUUCCGAGCUUAGG